GCGUAAAGGGUGUGUAAGCGGUUCUUUAAGUUUGGUGUGAAAUCUCCCGGCUUAACCGGGAGGGUGCGCCCAAUACUGAAGGACUAGAGUAUGGGAGAGGAAAGUGGAAUUCCUGGUGUAGCGGUGAAAUGCGUAGAUAUCAGGAGGAACACCGGUGGUGUAGACGGCUUUCUGGACCAUUACUGACGCUGAGACACGAAAGCGUGGGUAGCAAACAGGAUUAGAUACCCUGGUAGUCCACGCCCUAAACGAUGCAUAUUUGGUGUGGGCGGUUCAAUUUGUCCGUGCCGGAGCUAACGCGUUAAAUAUGCCGCCUGGGGAGUACAGUCGCAAGGCUGAAACUC
RNAcentral lists this ribosomal RNA (344 nucleotides) under uncultured Acidobacteriota bacterium. RNAcentral's name for it is "bacterial SSU rRNA". It matches the Rfam family "Bacterial small subunit ribosomal RNA", at positions 558 to 902 of the family's 1533-position model. Lineage: Bacteria; Pseudomonadati; Acidobacteriota. The record is from RNAcentral.